CUCCAUUUUCCAAGAAACUUUCCCUCUCCAUUAUUGAGUUCUUUCACACGUGAGAUCUGAUUUUCGAUAGAUAUCUCCUUCUUUUUCAAGUCUUCACUCUCCCUUUUUCAUCUUUCUAUCUUCAUUAAUUUCCAGAAACAAAAUAUUAGUUUCAGUUUUCCAACCUUCAACCUCACAGGAAACUUGGCAUGAAGCUUCAAAGAAUGUUUCCUAUUUGCUGUUGGCUGCCAUAAAGAAAUCGACACUGGUCGGGAUAUGGGGAUGGAGGGUUCAGCUAGAAGAGGGGAACGGCCUCGGUUUCGAGUUCGGAGCAGAGAUUGGCUAUUGAAGUCUACUGCGUGUCUGGUGUGGGUGGUUAGAUGCAGAGAAUUUGGCUCCAGAGCAACGGCACAACUUCAUCCACAAUGGUGUUAACCUCCUCUUUACUAAUCUUUGUAUGAAAUUAGAAUAUAAGCAUGUAACUAUCCAGUUAUGGCGUUUAACUUUUUCAGGCCAGAAGGUGUUUGAGUGGGAUCAAACAUUAGAAUAGGUGAAUAUGUGCAUAAACCUUCCACCAAAUAUUCCUAAGAAACUCUUUUGCCGUAAGAUUGAGUCCAAUCUUGUCAAAUUUUGUAAAUUUGUGACAAGUAAUAUAUAUAUAUAUAUAUAUAUAUAUAUAUAUAUAUAUAUAUAUAUAUAUAUAUAUAUAUAUAUAUAUUUAUUUAUUUAUUUUAUUUUAUUUUAUUUUUUUGUUUCCUUCAUAUUUGAAUAAUUGUUUCUUGAAUUAUUUUAGUUUUUGUAUUUGGGGUUUUCUUAGAAUUUUGAAUUUUUGAAAGCACAGCUUGAACAAUAAGAUAACAAGAAGGGGUGCAAAACUUCUAUUUAUCUCUCUCUCGAUCUUGAAAGAACCAUAAAGGUUGUAUAGUGUUUGUUAUUAGUAAUGGUAUGUACGAUGUUUGAAAGAGAAUAAAUUCUGAUUCUUUGGUGAUAUUAUGAAUCUUGAGUGUGCUUAUUGAGAAUCAAUUCUGAUUCUGAAUUGUGGUUCAAUCUCAGUCUGAUGUGUUUUACCGGGAUAUUUGAAAUCAAGUACAUGAAAUGCUUAUUCUUUUCCAGGCUAUAGCUAAGAAAUUGGCAGUGGCAAGAUAGUGACAACCAUUGGAGGCAGUGACUACGUAGCUGCUAUUGAAAAGGCUGGUCUCACCGACAAGAUGAGCCAUAUCUCAACUGGAGGUAGGGCGAGCUUUGACCUUCUUGAGGGAAGACCCUUACCUGGUGUUCUUGCCCUUAAUGAGGCUUGAGUAGUGUUUUUCGUUGACAUGACUGGCUUCCAACCAGACGAGCUGAAUAAGCCAGACCUAUGGAAUGAUCCUAUACAUUCAGGGAAGAUAAGUCGUGAACAUGGUUCACUUUUGGUAAAAAUGAAAAAGGCUAAUGCAUUUGAGCAAGAACUACUUGAGCAUAUUGAUAUGAUAACACUUGCUCGUGAAGAUAAUGAUGUAGAAUUGGAAUCAGUGGGUCCUCAAUCAUUUUUUUCGAGCAUGUAUCCUUCUUUUCUAUUUUAUAGAGUUUCAUAAUGUUUCUACUUUUGGCAUGAAACUACUCAUUUAUAUUAUUUUCAUCAUUCUUUCCAAACUUCAACCAACUUAAAUUACUCACGCAUUUUUAAAAAUAAUUGGAUCAUAAAUCUUGAUUUUCCUCUAUCUAGGUCUCUUAGAAAACUUAGUUGGAUCAUUGUGAUGUAUUUGAUCCUAAGUUACUAUUGGAUUAAAUGAAUUUAAUUUGUUUGGGUGAAAAUGUGAUUUGUACGUGUGUAUAGUUAAUGUAAUGGAAUUUAAAUAACAAUAGAUUAAUUCAUAUAAUAAUUUAGGUACAAGAAAAUAUAAAUACAAAAGUUGGUUUUUGGAGAGUCGGAUGGAAUGCUUUCCUUUAAUGUUAUGUGUAAUCUAGAAGUAAUCUGUAUUCAAAAUUCCCCUUUUCGGUGUUUUAAUUUUACGGAUGAUGUAAAUAUUGAAAAGAUGAUUCUUUCCUCAUGAGUUGCAUGUGAGAUUAACUUAUUAUUCUUCUAAUUAAUAGGAAUCUCAAAAGGCUCUACUUACAAUGAGAAAAAAACAUCAACGGAAAGGAGAGUUUGAAGCUUUGUUAGCUAGGGAGUGUGAUACUUCUAACUUCAUAGAGGUAAGCUAUAUUAAUGGCCACCUAUUAGGUGCAUUUAAAUAUUAAUAAGUAUUUGCUUCUGAAUUUUGUCCUUGUAAAAAUGUGUAAUUGUUUCAUUAUUUCUUGGUGGACUCAAUAAUUUUGUUUUAUUGGUAUUAUUAUCUAGAUAUAAUUGCACUUAUUGAAUCAAUUUGGCGAAAAUCAAUCUUUUUCUACUAAUUAUAGAUUCAAGCCGGAGCUUGUGGUACUGAUAGCGUGGACUGGGAUUCAAUGGUAAUGUAAAUGUACAAGAAGUAGGCUGAACGUCGAGGCUUAGGAAUUACCAUUGUGGAUGAAAUGACUGGCAAGUUAGCAAGAAUAGGGAUUCAUGUUCUUACCACCUUUUAUGUUUAUAAUGCUUAAUAUUUUAUGAUGUCUAAUGGAUUCUAUGUGUUCAGUAUUAUCUCUUGGACAACAGAAUAAGGGUUCAUGUUCUUACCACCUUUUAUGUUUAUAAAGUUUAAUAUUUUCUGAUGUUUAAUGAAUUCUAUGUGUUCAAUAUUAUCUCUUGGACAACAGUUGAUUGUCGUUUCUACUCCCUUUGUAUGAUAAAUUUUUUUAAUAAAAGGUAGUGUCAAUUCCGAACCAAUACUUUAUGCCUCUCUACCAAACCUUUUUAGACGACGUCACAAGUUAGUAAGUUGAAACAUAAAGCAAAUUGUUUUUUGGAAUGAUAUCUUACAUGAUUUUAUUAUCAAUUGCUAUUUGUUUCCUUGCAUAUAAUGAAAACCAAAAUCCUCUAUUGUAUUUAAACAAUAACUUCCAUUCCUUCAUUAUAAUACAAUGCCUCAAUUUUUAUGUACUAUAAUUUCUACAUUUGUUUUGUUGAGAAUUUUCUUUAAUUGCUUUAGUUUCUUUGUAUUGUGCUGCCAUUAAAAUGGGUGCAAUUCAUUCUGGGGGUUGCAUUCUAAUGUUUAGCCCAUUGUUCUUUAAUCCUCUGAUGUGGGUAAUAUGUUUAACUAUCAUGCUGUAUUUGGAGGGGGUUUGGAUCUUUUAUUUACAUUUUUGGGUUUUGUGUAAAAUGGUUAUAGAAAAUAGGGAGAAAAAUGAAUUGCCAAGCUUCAGAUAGUUCAGCUGUGAGGAGCUGAAAUCUGCUACAAAUGACCUUUCUUCUGAGACCAUUAUUUCAGAGCAUGGGUAGAAGGCUUCCAAAGUAGUGUACAAAGGAUUUCUUGAAAAUCGUCAAUGGAUUGCUAUCAAGCACUUCAAUAAGUCUAAUUGACAUGAUUUUUACCUAUUCCUUGUUAGUACUUAGUGUUUACUAUUUUUUUAUCAAUCAGAAGAUCGUCAUUAAUUUCGUGUUAUUGUUUUUUGGUCGGUUAUUAUAGGAUGAAGCCAAGGCAGUGGGGAACCUGAGAAGUGAGCAAUUGUUAAUUUGAUAAGUUGUUGCUAUGAGGAAGGGGCAAGACUACUUGUAGCAGAAUUUAUGCCUAACGAAAUUCUGGCAAAACAUUUAUUUCAUUUAGAGUUUUGUAUAUAUGUAUAUUACUAUUACAGAAUUACUGCAAUUUACAUUACAUCUCGGUCGUGGAUAUUUUUCGAAUAAAUAGAACACUGAAUAUGUGUGGAGCCUAAUCAUAUUGUAUAGGUAGUGGAAAUUUAUGUCUUAGUUUAUUUUCUGAUUGCAUUCUUUUUCAGAAAGCUUAGUCCCUAAAAUAAAAUAAUGGUAAAUUUGAUCAUGUAUACAUAUGCAGUCAAUUCUCAUAUGCACAUUGAUUUUGAGAUCUAAUUUGCUUUAGUGAAGUGUUCUUGGAUAUAUCCCAUGCUUUCUAGGCCAAAUUGGUUUUGUAUGGAUAGUGUUCUAAUAUAUUUUAGUGGUUAUAUUGGUAUAGAGAAGCAACCCAUGAAAUGAGAACUGAGGUUGUGGGUGGCUCUGUAUAUGGCACAACCUCUAGAGUACUGCAGUAGUCGUGGACAGACAUUGUACCAAGAUCUUAAUGCUUAUAGUCUUGUUUGAUAAGGUAAAAUUUGCUAUAUGUAAGUUAAGAUUUUCCUUCCAAAAUUGAAUGUUUUGUGGUCUUCUAUUCAUUCACUAGCCAUACAGGAUGGGAAUCCUCUGCUCUCCUGCUUUGGCCAGAUGAAGAAUAGUCGAGAUGGCUAAAGUUACAAUACAAACUUAGCUUUCACUCCUCCAGAGUUCUUGAGAACUGGUAUAUAAUUCUGAUUUCUCUAUGAAGUGGUAAUAUUGCCCAAUGAAUCUCUCAGUACAUGUGAAGUUGGACAUCAAGGUUACUGUUGUGCAUGUGGCUCAUAUAGAGUGGAACACAAGCCCUGGAUCAAAUGGAUCGAUGCCGGCGCGGAUUUAAUUCACUGUCUGGAUGUUAGGGACGCUGAAUGGGUUGGGGGUGCAGGGGCAACGCCCCCGCGGUACGGUACAG
This 4550-nucleotide long non-coding RNA is filed under the name Olea europaea subsp. europaea. Lineage: Eukaryota; Viridiplantae; Streptophyta; Magnoliopsida; Lamiales; Oleaceae. The record is from RNAcentral.